This 2233-nucleotide long non-coding RNA is filed under the name Sorghum bicolor (sorghum). RNAcentral's name for it is "long non-coding RNA (SBIC_LNC014704)". Lineage: Eukaryota; Viridiplantae; Streptophyta; Magnoliopsida; Poales; Poaceae. The record is from RNAcentral.
GGGUGGACUAUAUAAGAAUCAACGAAGUUGUCACUAUCGCGAACUACCACACGACCCGACCAAUAGGAUACAUUUGCAGGUAAAUAACAUCUAAGCACCACGUCCACAUGUGAUCUACCACUUAACUCCCUCACAUCGAAAGCUAAGCGCUUUGCAAACUUAUACAUAAACUCAUUAUCAAUCAUAACUAUAUCAAAUAUAGAACUAGAGCAAACUAAGAUCAUAAUAAAUAGAGACAUAAUGUAAUUAGAACAAAGUAUUAGAGAAAGAUAUGAAUAAUACCAAUCUUUAUUACCGAAGAUCCGAAUCCAGAGCGUAGUGCUCUACUUCUCUAAUUGCUAUCUAAUCAAACCUCUAAACUUGAAGGCUUAGGGAGUAGCUAAUUCUAAUUCUCUGUGGGAGAGAAGCUCUAAACCCUAACUUUGAUGGCUACCUCUGAUAAUGAUUUCUUCUCUUCUUCUCUCUCCUCCAGGGGUGGAGAGGCCUUGGUUAUAUAGUCCUUUCAAGUGAAUUUGGGCCGUUGGAUCAAACCGACAUUGAUUGUAUGGUUUAGAUUCAUCCUUUAGGUUGGUGGAGCUUAGUCCCGAAAGAGAGUCCUGAUUGGACUCUAACCCUGGGCAAGCGCCCAAGGGGGGUGGGCGGGUGCCCUGCCCCCGAGCCCGAUCGUCUUCUCGUUCGUUCCCGUGGCUUCUGGACUCUUCUAGAUUGAGGAAAAUUGUGCGGCACGUAAUUAUCUCGUUGUAAACAAGACAUGUGGGCCUUCUCUCCAUAUUCUCUGAUAACCCCCUGCAGAAAUAGAUAAACACCAAAGCUCAUGGAAUUCUAUCAGAUAAAACCCUAAUUCUAGAUGUUUGGUGCAUAUUGAUCCUUUUCAUGUUUAGUUGAUGGUUAAAUUUAGUACUUAAGGACCGUCAACAAACUCCCCCAAGCUUACCCUUUGCUCAUCCCUGAGCAAACAGCUAAACUCAGAUGGAUCAGGAGUUGGUUCGAUGUUUUCUUUCCUGACAGGCACACAUGCUUUCACAUAAAAUUCUUCUAGAUUAGAGUGAAGUGUCAUGAAGCUUAGUACCUGCACUUAAGUCUUAAGUAAUCGAAAGACAAAAUAAUUAAGUCAAGCACUAUUCCUCCUGUCUAUACUUCACCUUUGUUCCAGAGUUUUUCAUAAGUUUUCAAAAUAAAACUCAGAGUUUCCAGCAAUGAUUCUCUCAAGUCUCUCUAUAUGUGGUAUUUGUGGAUCUUUACCAAAAUGUCACUUACCUAUAGCUAAUGGAAUAUUUAAGUGGAGCUCGUAGGAGUGAAAAACAGCUCAUACAUAUGUUGUCUAAUCGAGCCAUGGAUCCAAAAGAACUCAGCAUAUAAUUAAGAUGUGCAUGUGUGGUGGAGUAAAUGAUAGUGAUGGUAAAAAUGUAUAAGUGAUAAUAAAACUUACUUCUCAUUGCUCCUCAUAUUACUAUUUCUCCUCUUCUUUGAUCUUUGCUUUGGGAGAACAUGGGCUAUCUUUUUCUCUUUUUUUUUCAAGUGGGUAGUAGACACCCCUAAUUCUACUAUCUGACACUUGCCCAUUUUUUCCACUCAGGUGGGCAUCUUUGUACCCCUAAUUCUACUCCAGACACUUGUCCAUUUUUACCUCUCGUCUCACUCUUUUUUUUCUUUUUCCGAGGUUCCGGGCACUUGCCCCUUUUUAUUUCCUCGCAUAUUUUUGCAUAACCCAUGCCUCUUCUACAUUGAAUCUUUUAGAGAGAGAAUAACAAUACUUGGAACAGUGAGUGAUAAUAUUUUUAGCAAUUUUUAAUAAGUGGUGGUGGAUGGCGUAGUAGAUGUGUGCAAGUGAAUGUCUUAAUUUAACCACAUGAAAAGCUCCUAAGGGUCUACACAACUCGAUCAAACUCAAUGUGAAUAUAUGUAGCUAAAGAUGUUAUAGCAAGUAUGGCUGUGGUAGGAAUUUUGUAAUGCUAGGAACUCAUCAUGUGAUUUGCAAGUUUUCAAAAUAAAUCUCCAGAACUUAGUGUAGUAGGAACAAGAUAAACAGUAGCUCAAACUUUAUAUCAUGCCUUUCUCUUACCUAGACUUUAGUUUUAUGCUUCCCAAAGAUAGUAAUUUCAGUUUUAAUAAUUCCUGGAAGAACUCUAAUAUAAAAGCUAGGUACUUGAAAGUAAGCAAACAGAGCAACUAUUCAUCAUUUCCAUCAUGCAUCUUUUUGGUCUUUUUAUUUUUCUAGAGAUUAACACUUAGC